Non-coding RNA from Paramuricea clavata, 276 nucleotides. The record is from the annotation of a GenBank genome assembly. NCBI's taxonomy places the organism in Eukaryota, Metazoa, Cnidaria, Anthozoa, Malacalcyonacea, Plexauridae.
CCAACACUUUGUCAUGGAAGUCCCAGGUAGUUACACAAAAUUCAGCAGCCAACAAAUCUCUUGGCUGUGUUCGCCGCUCUGUUAGUAACAUUAAUGUCGUUAACGUUCGCCGUACUCUAUACCUUGCCAUUGUUCGUCCACAUCACGGGUAUGCUACUCAGGUUUGGUCCCCACAAUCAAUUGACCUUAUCAGACGUGUCGAAAGGGUCCAGCGUCGUGCUGGACAUAAAUAUAUCUCUAUUGUGGCAAAAUAAAUAAAUAAACACUUUCCGCCGG